GCUGGUUUUCCCUUUGAGAAUGCAGCCUGGCUUGUAUGCAUUCCCUGGUCUCCUGGAAAGCCUGUCUUUGGGACACCUCUGCUGGGUAGUGGGUACACACGCCUACAAUGUUUGUACAGGAGAAGAUGAGAACAUUGGAGACCAGCUGUUUGAGGAGGAACUUAUCCUCUGCGUUGAUCUUGAGGGAGACGGCCAGGUGGA
Molecule: long non-coding RNA, 201 nt
Filed under: Gallus gallus (chicken)
Lineage: Eukaryota; Metazoa; Chordata; Aves; Galliformes; Phasianidae
Source: RNAcentral